Lolium perenne is the source of this 802-nucleotide long non-coding RNA. RefSeq lists it as uncharacterized. The record is from RefSeq and is a predicted model, not a curated record. Lineage: Eukaryota; Viridiplantae; Streptophyta; Magnoliopsida; Poales; Poaceae.
AGGGUUGAGCAGAUAAUUGGAAGAACCAUAUUUUCUCAAUGCAAGCAACCUGGGAAUAACCUUGAGAUCUGCAAGGUGUGAGUAGGAACUGAGGCUCCACUCUUAGAGCAACACUCACGUGUUGAGCUUUUGGUUGUCCUUAUUUGUAAGGGGCAGACCUACCAUUACAUCAGGAAAUCGGGAUGCCAUCAGUUUCUCCUAUCAUAACUGAGGUGCUUGCUAUCAAAGUUAUUAGUGGAAACAUUGCCGACUGGAUGAAGAAGGAAGGGGAAAAAGUCUCACUAGGUGUAGAAGGUCGAGCUGCUCGUCCUCAUGGUGCACCAUAGCUACCUCGCUGCUGCCAUCCAGGACCUGUCAACAUCGGCAUCACAAGAUCAUGGAACUUAUGUGUGUGCAGAUCAAUGCAGUAUCUUCGGAGGAGCGAGCAACAAUAUUCAUUGGUUUACAUUUAGGCUGCCAAGUCAGGCCGCUGACCUCCUUCGCUGCUGAUGUUCGACAACCAAUGUCUUAGCAUUGGCGCCCAAUGAUAGGGAGGUUGCGGGAGGCAGAAUCUGAAGAUAAGGUGGGGCAUUUCCACUACGUGCUGGAGGUUGAUCUGCUUGCCUCCAAGGGCUACCAUGGUGAUCUAUACACGGACUUUUAGGAGCUCGUCGACAUCGACAUCGCAAGAUCAUGGAACUUAUGGGUGCCAUGUUGAUCAUCUUUGGAGGAGCGGACAACGGUAUUCGGUGGACUACACUUGGGCAGCCAAGUCAGGCUGCCGACCUCCUUCGGCGCUGAUGUUCGACAGCCAGUGUCUUAC